This 301-nucleotide long non-coding RNA is filed under the name Manihot esculenta (cassava). RNAcentral describes it as "long non-coding RNA (MESC_LNC006162)". The record is from RNAcentral. Lineage: Eukaryota; Viridiplantae; Streptophyta; Magnoliopsida; Malpighiales; Euphorbiaceae.
CCGGAAGUAUCAGAUGAGAAUAACUUAAGUGGUGAAGAAAGUGAGAUGCAUGAAGACACUGAAGAAAUCAAUGCCUUACUUUACUCCGAUGAUGAAGAUGAUGAGUAUACUGGUGGUGAUGAAGAUGAUGAGUAUGUUGGUGGUGGUGGUGGUGAUGAUGAUGAUUAUGAUGAUGAAGUAACAAGCACCGGUCACUCUCCUUUUCUGAUUAGUAGUAGUGGGAUGCGAGGACAUGUAGAGGAUAUAACAGAAGAAGUAGCUGGUUCUGAUGGUCAGAACAAAAGGCAGAAAUUGCUUGAUG